Long non-coding RNA from Piliocolobus tephrosceles (Ugandan red Colobus), 1762 nucleotides. The record is from Ensembl. Lineage: Eukaryota; Metazoa; Chordata; Mammalia; Primates; Cercopithecidae.
AUGCAAAAUGCAGAAUAAAAAAUGUAAAAUGCAAAACGAAAUGUGAAAUAUAGUUGUUUAUACAAUUACAAAUUUUUUUUUUUUUUUAUUUAUUAUACAUAUAUAUAUAAAUAUAUACAUAUAUAUAAAUAUAUACAUAUAUAUACAUAUAUACAUAUAUAUAUAUAUAUGUAUGUAUAUUAAUUUUUUAUAACAUUUUAACGUUAUAUUUUUUUGUAUUAUUUUUUUAGUUAAAGAGGAAGUGAGUAAAUUAGACUUAUAUUAAUGUGUGAAAUAUAAUAAAUAUACAUGCACGUAUAUACAUGCACGUAUAUACAUGCAUACAUACGUACAUGCAUACAUACGUACAUGCAUGCAUACGUACAUACAUACAUACAUAUAUGUACAUAUGUGUAUAUAAUGUGUAUACAUGCAAGCACGAAAUACUUUGUUUAUGUGUGUACACAUGCACUAGCGAAAGUGUCGAAGUAAAAUAAGAAAUAAAACGAUUUUGUCACAUAAAAAUGAAUAACAACUUUACAGAAACCAACAGUAAUAUAGUAAAAGAUGAAAAGAAUCAAAAAAUAGAAAAUUUUAAUAAAGUUGUAAUUAUAAAAAAAAACACAGUUCUUUAUUCAAACUCAACUGAUUGUAAAAAUGAAUAUAAUGGACAAUUCUUAACAAGGGAACACAACAAUUUAUUUACUAAAAAUGUAUUAAACAAUAAUUUCAACGAAAUUGUAAAAAAUAAAAACAUAACAUAUAAUAAGGAUGUAUUAAUGUAUGCUACUAAGUGUGUAAGUGAUGGUAAUAGCGGUUGUAAUGGUAAUAGCGGUUAUAAUGGUAAUAGCGGUUGUAAUGGUAAUAGCGGUUGUAAUGGUAAUAGUGGUGGUAGUGAUGGUAAUAGUGGUGGUAGUGAUGGUAAUAGUGGUGGUAGUGAUAAUAGUGGUGGUGAUAAACAAAUAAAACAAGAACUGCAAGAAAAAAAUAUGUAUAGUACAGAAAAAUUAACAGAGAGUAAUCCAGUAAAAAUAAUUGCCACACCAUUUUAUAGUAAUAAACUAGAGAAUAACAUGAACAGUAGUACGGUUGAUACGAUAAAAAGUAAUCAUACAUUUGGUGAUAGUAAUAUUAGUGGUAAUUAUCCCUCUAUCCACAUUGGCAGUGGUAGUGGUAGUGGUAGUGGUAGUGGUAGUGGUAGUGGUAGUGGUAGUGGUAGUGGUAGUGGUAGUGGUAGUGGUAGUGGUAGUGGUAGUGGUAGUGGUAGUGGUAGUGGUAGUGGUAGUGGUAGUGGUAGUGGUAGUGGUAGUGGUAGUGGUAGUGGUAGUGGUAGUGGUAGUGGUAGUGGUAGUGGUAGUGGUAGUGGUAGUGGUAGUGGUAGUGGUAGUGGUAGUGGUAGUGGAAGUGGUAGUGGUUGUGGCAGUGGUAGUGGUAGUGGCAGUAGCAGUAGCAGUGGUAGUAGUAUAAUAAAUUAUUCCACAGAAACGAUAGAAGAAAUACAAAAAAGUCCAUGUACGAACGAACAUAAUACAAAUAUAACUGUUUCUACUUUAUUAAAAAAUAAUAUAAAUGAAUAUAAUCCAACAGAAAAUGUGGCAUUUAAUAAUGUACUAAUAAAUGAUAAAAAUGUAGAAUUUAAAAAUAUAGAAUUAAAAAAUGUAGAAUUAAAAAAUGUAGAAUUAAAAAAUGUAGAAUUAAAAAAUGUAGAAUUAAAAAAUGUAGAAUUUAAAAAUGUAGAAUUUAAAAAUGUAGAAUUUAAAAAUAUAGAAGAUAGUAAAGCAAA